RNAcentral lists this long non-coding RNA (26353 nucleotides) under Populus tremula. Its description in RNAcentral is "long non-coding RNA (PTRE_LNC002409)". The record is from RNAcentral. Lineage: Eukaryota; Viridiplantae; Streptophyta; Magnoliopsida; Malpighiales; Salicaceae.
CUGCAGAAAGCAAAGGCUUCCUUUGAGAUUUGGGAGGACAAACUUAGAAAGUUCGAACUUGGCUUUCGUCAAGGUGGGUAGACCCAUAUCCACCAUGGACAAUAAAGAGCCUAUAACGGAGAAGAAGAACCUUGGCACUGGCAGGACAAUCCUAAUAAUAAGUGGUUCAUUUGUUGCUUUUGGUCUUGCUAUGGUGGCGAUUUUCGGAAUCAUCGUUUACAGAUAUCAUGUAUUGGCAUAUAAAAGGGUGCCAACUAAUGAUGGUACUGCAUUGAAUGAGGUAUUUGCUCCUCGAGCUUUCACUUAUGCAGACCUAGAAAAGAUUACUGGUGGUUUCAAGGAAGAAAUUGGCAGGGGAUCAUUUGGGACAGUUUAUAAAGGGAUCAUAUCAAGUACUCAGAAGGUUGUUGCUGUCAAGAGACUGGAGAAAGUUCUAGCUGAAGGGGAAAGAGAAUUUCAGAAUGAGAUGAAAGUCAUUGGGAAAACACAUCACAGAAACCUAGUCCGUCUGCUCGGCUAUUGCCAUGAUGAACAUCACAGGCUCCUGGUAUACGAGUACAUGAGCAAUGGCUCCCUCGCUGACAUACUCUUCUCACUUGAAAAACGACCUUGCUUCCCUGAAAGGUUGGAAAUUGCUCGCAACAUUGCAAGGGGUAUUGUUUAUCUACAUGAAGAGUGCGACACUCAGAUCAUCCACUGUGAUAUAAAACCUCAGAAUAUACUAAUAGAUGAAAGCAGGUGCCCCAAAGUUUCUGACUUUGGAUUGGCAAAGUUUCUGAAGUCAGACCAAACUAAAACCUUCACCGGAAUUAGAGGGACGAGGGGAUAUGUAGCACCAGAAUGGCACCGGAAUAUGCCGGUGACAGUUAAAGCAGAUGUUUAUAGCUUUGGAGUUAUGUUGUUGGAGAUCACGUGUUGUCGAAAGAAUGUGGAUUGGAGUCUUCCAGAGGAUGAAGCUGUUCUCGAACAGUGGGUUUACCAAAGUUUUCUGGACGGUGAUAUGGACAAACUUGUGGGUGAUGAAAUCGUCGAAAAGAAACAGUUAGAUAGGAUGGUUAAAGUGGGACUUUGGUGCACUCUUGAUGAGCCAUCCCUCCGCCCUUCAAUGAAAAAGGUCCUCCUGAUGUUGGAGGGGACCGUCGAAAUCCCAAUCCCUCCAAGUCCUACUUCUUUUUUUACUGCUAUAUGAGCUGCGUUUUAUGGUUAGAAUAAGAGAUUUUUCAGGUCAUUUAUUCCUUUUCUUUAUAAAAUUGCUAUAUGUUUCCGCAGCAUUUAGGAGCUUCCUGUUGGUUUUUCUUCUAGUGUUAAUGCCUGUAAAGUUGUUUCCCAUCGUAUCUUAGAUAUUUUCUUUAAAAAAAAAAGGUAUAUAAAGAGGAGAAAAGAAAACGUUAGCAUGAAAGCUUCACGUGUUCCUAGUAUAAACAACAUUUGUUGGUCUUAUGUUAUCUCAAGAGUGAGCUCUUUACGAAGAAUAGAAUUAAUGAGACUAGGAUCUUUGCUUGUUUGUUCCCCUUCUUCUUCUUCUUCUAUUCUACAAGGCAAUUCCUUGCCUAAAAUGCCAAUGUCCAAUUCCAACGCUCAAGCUUAGUUGCAGGGCAUUAUCGGUGAAUCGAAGUCCAAUACAACGGUUGGUGACAGUACAUUGUUGCAAGUCGCCGUCAAAAUGACUAAUUGCCAGAAGUGAGAAGACCAGAAUGAGCUAAUUAGUUUGUAAUUACAUGGAGCAUAUCAAGCAGAAUUAUGUUAAAAGGAAGCGUUUAUAGAGAAGAUAAGAAGCAGAUUAAUGAGAUAACUUCACACACUUUUUCAUUUACAUUGUGCAUGUAUAAAUACAAGAUUGAAGAGCUUAUUAAUCCUGAAGUUUUGCUAUCCUGUAACUAACUGCAAGCUAUCCAUGAUUCAAACAUUCAAAUUAAAUGUAAGGAUUUGAUUCCGGUGGAUGAGGAUUUUGUGGAGGAACUGAUGCUGUUGGAUGAGUGAUUUGUGGGAAAGUGAUGACUUUCCUUAUAUGCCCCCGCAAGAUGAAGGUACCAUCAGUAACUCCAAUCUUGGAUCUUAAAACUUGAAAACGAUGGCGUGGAAGAGGCUUCGUAAGCAAGUCUGCAAGCUGAUCUAAAGUGUGAACAUGACUGAUGGUAAUACAACCUUUCUAGACAAGAUCACAAACAAAGAGAAGGUCAAUUUCGAUGUGUUUCAUACGAGUGUGUUGCAAUGGAUUUAGGCUGAAAUGAGAUGCACCAAUGUUAUCAUGAAAAACCUAGGGAGGAUUUUUAGGAUGUAAGCCAAGUUCAUUGAUUAAGGAGUGAAGCCAAAUUGUUUCAGAGGUGGCAGCAGCUAAUGCAUGAAAUUUCGCUUUUGUAGAAGAACACGAUACAUCUCUUUGUUUGGGUGCAGACCAAGAAAUGGGAUUGGAGCCUAGAAUGGUGAUAAAUGCAAUGGUGGAGACCCUUGUAUCAGUGUUGGCAGCCCAGUCCGCAUCAACAAAGGUUUGUAGAUUUAAGGGGCUACUCUGUUGAAUAAGAAUCCUAUGAAACAUUGUUUGCUUGAGAUACCUAAGAAUUUGUUUGGCUACAGUCUAGUGACACGUUGUUGGUUUGUGCAUGAACUGGGAAAGUCAAUUUACUGCAAAUGCAAUGUCAAGUCUAGUCAAACCAAGAUAUUGCAGUGCCUCAAUAACUCUUUGAUAUUCUAUGCUAUUUGCAGGAGCUGAACCAUCCGAUAAAAUCAAUGGUGUGCUAGUGGACAUUGGAGUGUGAAUGUCUUUGGCCAUAUCCAUGGAAGUUUUAGAGAGUAAAUCUUAAAUGUAUUUGUGUUAUGAAAGGAAAAGGCCCUUGGCUAUAGGAAUGACUUCAAUGCCAAGAAAAAAAAUAGAGAUGUCCUGUGUCUUUGACAAAGAAGGUGUGACUAAGUUUAUUGAUGAUAACAACUACAAAUAUGGAGAAGUUUCCUAUGAUAAUGAUGUCAUCAACAUACACAAGACAAUAGCAGAGAACACUGUUAGAGACAUAGAUGAAUAAAGACGUGUCCAUAACUGAAUGAACAAAGCUAAAUUGCAGAAGAGCAUCCCGAAGAGCUUUGUACCACUAGCGAGGUGCCUGUUUCAGGCCAUAAAUACUUUUCUUUAGUUUACAAAGAUAUUCAAGCUUGGAAGUAUCUCUGAAGCCGGGAGGUUGAUGCAUAAACAUUAUUUCUUCAAGAUUGUCAUAAAGAAAAGCAUUAUUUAUGUCAAGCUGCCUAAGAGACCAACCAUUCAUGACAACAAUGGAGAUGAUUAAGCGAAUUGUAGUUGUUUUAACAACUGGACUGAAUGUUUGGGAAUAAUCAAGACCUGGCCUUUGGUGGAAGCCUUUGACAACUGGACGAGCUUUGUAUCUACUGAUGGUUCCAUCAGGAUUUUGUUUUGUUUGAAAAACAAAAUUGCAGCCUAUAAGAUUUUGACUUGCUGCAGGAGGGACAAGUUCCCAAGUGACAUGAUUGAGUAAUGCAAUGAUUUCUUCGGACAUGGCAUUGCGCCAAAGUAGAUUUUUAAGUGCUUGACUAACACAUGUUGGCUCAGGGGAUUCAGAUAAUAGAUGUGUUGUGGUGGUGUGAAGCUGUUUUGGAACAAAGAUGUUGUUCAUAGACCGAGUGGUCAAAUUAUUUCGUCUUUGAGAAACAACAAGAGCUAGAAGAUUUACCUGAACUGUGGAGACUGUGGUUGUAAUGUCCAAAUUGGAUGCAGGGAGAGAGAGCUCUUCUUGAUGGACAAUAGAGACUGGUGCAAAGAGAACUUGGUUUGCUGGGUGACAAUCUGCAAUAGUGGUGCAGAUAGAGUAGGAGCGACAGGUAAGGAAGACUCAGAAGUGGACUGGUUGAUGAUGUUCUUUAGAGGAAAGGUGUUUUCAUCAAAUGUAACAUGUCGUGAGAUAUAUAAGCGUUGAGUAGGUAAGUGGAAACAAAGAUAGGCAUUCUGUGUAGUGGAAUAACCAAGAAACACACAGGGAAUAGACUUGGGCUGGAGUUUAUGUGUGUGGUAAGGUUUCAGCCAGGGACAACACAAGCAACCAAAUGUUCUGAGUUUGAGAUAAUUGGGAGAUGCUGUGAACAAGGUUUGAAAGAGAGAUUUUUGAUGAAGAAUAGGAGAGGGCAAUCAAUUGAUUAGAUAGGUUGUUACGGCAAAAGCAUAUGACCAGAAAUAGGAGGGAAGGUUAGCGUGACUGAGAAGUGUGGUGCCUGUUUCUACUAUGUGUCUCUGACGUCGCUCUGAAAAGCCAUUUUACUGAGGAGUGCAUGGGGCUGUGGUGUAAUGACUUAUGCCGUGGAGAGUAAGAAAUGGUUUUAGAGCAACAAAUUCUCCACCAUUAUCAGAGUAGAGACUUUUGAUAUUAGCAUUAAACCAAUUUUGUAUCAUUUUAUGAAAUUAAGGAAAAAUGAUUUUAACAUCAGAUUUGUUAUGAAGUGGAAAAAACCAGACAUAUUUUGUGAAGUGAUCAAUGAAGAUCACAUAAUAUUAUGACCUUGAAUGUUGAUUUGUGGUGAUGGUCCCCAAACAUCGGUAUAUAUUAAAUCAAAAAGAGUAGAGCUAGUGAGACCAUGUUUAUGAAAAGGCAGGUGAUGAGAUUUAUUGAUAAAACAGGAAUCAUAAAAAUGAGAUAUAGAGGAAUUGCUAGAAACUGGAAAAGAGAAUAAGGAGAUCAUUUUGUCUACAACUUUUGAGCAAGGGUGGCCUAGGCGCUAAUGCCAGCCAUUUAUAGACGUGCGUUCAUGAACCAUUGCAAUGGGAGUGGAGGCAUGAGGAUGAGGUAGAGGAUAAACAUCAUUCUCACACGGUCCUUGAAGAAGAAUCUCUCUCGUCUGUUGAUCCUUGACAAAAAAACAAGAAGGAUGGAAUUCAAGAAACACAUUGUUGUUUUUGGUAAAAUGAUGGAUUGAAAUCAAAUUUUGAUUUAUGGUGGGAACACAAAGAGUGUCUUGAACUUGGAAUGUGCGUUUAGGAAAGGGAAGAGUAAGAGAACUUGAGUGAGUGAUUUUCAAACCUGAACCAUCUCCAAUGAGCACUUCAUCUGUGCCAUCAUAUUCAAAGUGUAAGUGCAUAUUGGAUACUUGAGAGGUGAUGUUAUGCGAUGCAGCAAAGUCAAUGAGCCAACACUGAUCUGGACUCUGAGAAGCAGUGGUGCCGUUGGCUGUAGCCUUCUUGGUGUGUAACUUAGGAUAGUGUUUUGCAACAUGGCCAAGUUGAUCACAGUAUUGGCAUUUGGGAGUAUAUUUGUGUUGCCUGAAAUAGCGAGGUUGGGAUUUGGAAUCAUAUUUCUGUGUGGUUGCAUGAAGAGAAGACUAUGGUUGUUUUUGUGAAAAACUAUGAUUCUUGCGCUAAGUAUUAUGUGUUGUAACGACUAGGGGAGGAGAAGUAUUGUCCAGGCGUUUAAGGUAAGACUCAUGACCAAUGAGAAGAUCAUGAAGUUCUUUAAAUGAUAAGGCAGAUUCGCGUGUACAAAUAUGGGCUACCAUUUCUCUAUAUUCAGGCCCUAAGCCAUUGAGAGCAUAGAGAGUAAUAUCAUCAGCAGAGAGAGGAGCAUCAAUGAGUGCAAGCUCAUCGACAAUAGACUUGAUAGAAUAAAGAAAUUUUGUGACAGUGCGUGUUCCAUGAUGAAUGAGAAUGAGAUCCUCUUUGAGUUGCAUGACUUGUGUUCUAGAACGACUGGCAUAAAGCUUGGUCAGUUUGUUCCAAGCUUAAGAGGAUGUUUUGGAAGCUACUAUGAAAGAUAUCACAGAAUCAGACACCUAGUAUUAUGGUCACUAGGAACCCUAACUGGUCAGCAGAGAUUCUAUGGUUCGGGACUGAUUACGUAAAAGGGAAGAUAUUAUCACCCCUUAAACGUCCUGCCUGAGGCAGGCUGCAUUGCUAGUUUUGUCUUAAAUUACUAAAUGUUUAUUAAUUUAUGCUAUGUUAAUUUGCUUAUAAUAUUCCUGACUCUAGCGUCAGUGAAUAUUCAACUACGAAUAUUUCCAACUCUGGCGUUGGUAAAUAUUACGUAGCUAGAAAAUAAAUUAAAUCAAUAUAUUUUUUUAUUCCUGACUCUGGCGCCAGUGAAUAAAUAAAUAACAAUGAAUUUAUUUUUAUGCAUGCACAUAUAUUUUUUAUUUUUCUAGCUAAAUAAAAUGCAACGAAUAAAAAUAAUAUAAAUUUAAACCGGUGUUUUUAUUCCUGACUCUGGUGUCAGUGAAUAAACUAAUAAAUUUACAUUAUUUUUAUUCAUGCAUAUAUAUUUUUUAUUAUUUUUAUUAUUUUUAUUUUUUUAUUUUUUUUGGGCUGGGCUGGGCUAGACCCAGCCCAGCAUACAUAUCUUUGGCUGGGCUCAGCUCAGCCCCACAGGGCUGGGCUAGGCCCAGCCAGGUCACUGGCCCGAGCCAGUGACCGGCUGAGCAAACUGAUGAUGCACGCGUGAAGCACUUUCACGCGUGCAUCAACAGUGCGAAGGUAAUUAAAUUACCUUCGCACUGUUCAAAUGCAAUUCAAUCACUGGAGCGAAAACAAAUGGAAAUGGGCGCACCUGUUUCAGACGACUGUGAAGAAGGCUACAGCGCUGGUGGAGUUCGACUGCUUGCUGUUUCAAAUGAUGCUGAGGAAGGUUGCAACGCCGGUGUGGGUUCUACUGUUUUAUGUCAAAUGCCAAUGGUUCGGUGAUCGAUUGGGAUCCUGCAGAGAUGAAAACAGAGUUAAUCCGUGAUCCUCUGCCUUUUCUCUCCUUUUCUGGCGAUAUAUUUUUCGGAUGAAAAUUGGUUUCUUGCAGGGACGGAAUCGGGGUUGAUGUUGCUGUUCUUCCCUGUGUUUUCUUUUUUUGAUUGUGUUCUGUUUUCUCUAUUUUUUUCUGGGUUUCUUGCUUUGUUUUUCUGGGUUGAUCCUCUGAUUUUCGACCUCCUCUCUGUCCCCUGCGUUCGAGAAGAUGGAGAUGUUAACGUUGGCCCUCUGGUUUUUUGAUGGCGUUUCUCUCUGUUUUUUGCUCUGCUUCUAGGUUCUGUUUUUGGCGUGAUUCUUCCGUUCUUGACUUUGUGGUUUUUUUUCGGAUUCUUUUUCUCCUUCGACUAGGUUUUUUGCUUCCUUUUAUAGACUCCCCAGCCCCUCUCUUUUAACUAGUCCUGUCUUUGCAGAACUCUUCUCUUCCCCGACGAGAUCGUGGGCGAUAGACAUGGUCCACGAUUGGAUCAACUUCGUUGCAGAUCUUCAGCCUAUUGAAUCGGGAUGCAGAAGACGAACACGGCUGUUUCACCAGCAACGGCGACGUUUCGGCAGCAAUGGAUUCCACCAGUAACGGCGACGUUUCAAGCAGCCAUGGACAUUUUCAAUUUGACCCCUAGACUUUGGAAAUUCAGCAAUUAGACCCCUAAACAAUUAAAAGUUUCUUUUAAUCUUGCCCUUUUGGAUUAAUUUCAAUUAAGUCUCUAAAUUAUAACACUAUUUACAAAACAGUCCUUAAUUUGUGGAUUGUCCAAUUUGACCCUUAAUUAAAUUUUUAACUUUUAAUUCUUUCAAAAUUGAUCAAUUAACUCUCAAAUUACAUCUCCAAACUUCAAAAUUUAUUGUCUUAACCCCAUUAUCAAUUAUAUUUAAUUUUUAUUAUUUGUUCAAAAAUUUGGUUAUGACAAAGCCUGAAGCUUUGCUUUUCUGUAACUAACUACAAGUUGUCCAUGAUUCAAACAUUCAAAUUAAACGUAAGGAUUUGAUUCCGGUGAAUGAGAAUUUUGUGGAGGAAUUGAUGUUGUGGGAGAGUGAUGACUUUCCUUAUAUCCUUUACAAUCAAAUUGCAAACAAACGGAGAAUAUAUCAUUUAUCAUAGUUAAGGUGCAUUUAUUUGAAAAAUAUCUUUCAUAUUUGAAAUAUAUAUAUAUAGUAAUAAAUUAUCAAUAGAAAAUAUUUUUUCCAUCACAAAACUAUCAACUCAUGGUUACAUGUUCCUAAUAAUAUUUUUCAAUCUCUUUAAUCAUCAUUACCAUUAUUACAUCACCAUCAUCUUCAUCACAGCUUCUUCACUUUCAUUAUCAUUACUUGCUAACAUAAACAUUAUUAAAACUAUAUGAAUUUAUUAUUAUUCUCAUCAACAUGAUCACAAGUGUAACAUCAUUAAUAUCAUAGCUACAAGGAAAUUUUUUUUUUUUUUUUUUUAAUAUCGUGAUGUUUUAAAUUAAAAGAGAUUAGGGACAACAAAGCCCUUAGAGGCUUAUAAAUGGGUAUAAAUGAAUAAGAGGUAUUGUGGUAAUUCAACAAGCUUGAUAAAUAUAAAUAGAAAAAAAAAGAGGGAUUUGAAAAUUUAAGAGAUAACCAGCAGGAGAGAAAAGGGAAAGAAGAAGGAGAAGAGAAAAGAGGGAAAUUACAAGGGAAAUAGAAAGGAGUUGAAAAUCUAAAAUUUAUGCUUUAAUGUGUUUAAUAUGUUUUAUUUAGCUUUAAAUUUCUAUUUUGAUGAAUGAUUAGGGUUUUGAAGAUUUUAUUUUGCGUUGAUUGAUGAAUUAAUUUUAAUGUUAUGGGUUGAUUAUUGUGGGUAAUGAGUUAAUUAGUUAGUUUUAAGAGAUUGUAGGUAAAGAUAAUUUUGAGUUAUGACUUCUGUAAAUGGUGAAUUUUGAGUUAGAAAUCUGGAAAGGACAGUAGGUUUUCUGUUUAAAUUCUGGGUUUGAGGUUGAAGAUGACAAAAUUUCGGUUUGGUCCCUCAAUUUGUGAAAAUUACAGUUUAGUCCCUAAAUUUUGGAAAAAUUACAAAUUGGUCCCUGGAGCAUAUUCCGAGAUUCCAGACAGAAUAAAAGAUGAAUUAUGGGCAGAAUUCCAGUAUAGUUAUGAAAUUUUAACACAUUUAAUUUGGUCCUCCCAUUUUAGAAAAAUUACAAUUUGACCCUAAAAAUUUGGAAAAAUUCCAGAAUGGUCCCUGGGGAAUAAUUAGAGAUUCCGGACAGAAAUGAGGAUGAAUUAUGGGCAUAAGCCCACUAUAGUCAUGAAUUUAUGAUAUUUUUAGUUUGGCCCUCCAAUUAGACGAAAAUUACAAUUUGGCCCUAAAAAUAUGAUAAAUUCCAGAUUGGUCCCUAGCUAUAAUAUUAGCUUUUUCAGAUUGGUUUGAUGGAUAAAUAAGGUUUAUUUAGUGAAUUAUUAUCAAGUCUUGUUAUUUGUUUUAUUAUGGAUUAGAUUUCGAAAAAACCGUUAAUUUUUGAGUUUUUAGGAAACAUAACUAGUUUAGUCUAAAAACAUAUAGGGUUAUGAAAUAUACCCUUAGAUAAGUGUAUUAAAUAGGUUAUAUGCUCUUUUGAGUUAUUUUUUAAUAUAUCUCAUUUGUAUUCAGAUAAUCAUGAUAUUCGACCGGCGGAACAUUAGUAGGAUUUCCUUCGGUAUCUGCUUUUGAGUUAUGUUUGCUUUCGAGUCAGGUGAGUGGAUAAUUUUCCAUAUGCAUGAGUAAUAUUAUAAAUAUUUGAGUUGUUAAUAUAAAUUGGAUCAUGUUUCUUGAUAAUAUAUAUGUUGAUUAUUAUUCUUGUUACGAUAAAGCAUGAUCAAUAGUUGAAUCUAAAUUCUUAAUAUGAACCAACAUAUAUUUUGAAUUGACUUCUGAAUUGAUAGCUCCUCAUUUGAUUGAUGUCAUGAGUUGAGUCUUGAGAUAUGAAUAUGUCUAUUUGAUUAUGAUUAUAAACCUAUGGUAUACCAGUCAAAAUACCCAUGCUAAUAGGGUAUUGUUAGUCUUUCUGAAUAUCGUAUCUGAACCCUAAUUGGUGAUGUAGAACAGUCUACAGGAGGGGAGGAAGAGCAAAUUGCAGGAUAUAAUAUCAUUGCAGAGAAAUCAGGAACUACAGUUACCAUUGGAGUAUCCUUCCACCAGAUUGCCUCUUUAUUUAGGAGUCCUAAUUAAUGUCGUAAUAUCAGGAUUUAUUUACUUUUCUAGCUAUAGUAUUUGCUUUCUUUAUUCUAGUUAUUUCUUUCCUAAACAAUUAUAUUCCUAGUCGAAUUAGGAUUUGCAGCCUAUAUAAAGGCUGCCUCUUUUAAUUGUAAGGCACUUUUGAAUUCAAUAAAGUACUUUCUCUUAGAGAAUUUUAAUUUCUGAACUCGUGGAUUUGAGUGUAAUUUUGGUUUAAGGAUUCGAAUGAUUUUUCCCGGAAAUAGACGGUGUCCUAUUUCCACAGAAGCUUUCGCUACGUCAGUUGGUAUCAGAGCAGGCCUAAUCCUGUUAGAUGGAAAACCCACACAACGAAAGCGAAACCCUUGGCGGUGGUGAUUGCGAGGACAGUUUGGUUAUAGGGGUUGAAUUCAGAAUUUUCCAGCAUGAGACACAACAAACCUUACGUGAUAUCCAAGCAGCCCUUGCUAGGUUGACAGCAGGAAAUAAUCAAGGGAUCAACAAUCGCCCAAGUCAUCAACAUCACAGAGAAAGGGCUGAAAGUUGUGAACGCCCUCCAAGAAUCCUACGAAGGCAACCAGUCUAUGAGGACAGCUUAAGUGAGGAUGAAGAAGAAGCUGAAGCUAUACUCUAGGGAAACCGGAGAGGAUACCAAAGGGAACCAGACCGACAGAUGUUUCGAAUGAAGAUGGACCUGCCUAAUUUUAAUAGACAACUUCAGAUUGAAGGGUUCCUUGAUUGGUUUGUAUUAGUCGAGAGGUUCUUUGAUUAUAUGGACAUUCCUGAAGAUAAAAAGGUGAAGUUAGUCACAUAUAGACUAUUAGGGGGAGCUUCUGCCUGGUGGGAGUAACUACAAAGUACCCAGCUGUGAUAAGGGAAGGGGAUGGUUCAAACAUGGACUAAAAUGAAACGACUAUUACGUUCCCGUUAUCUACCACCAGAUUACGAGCUAAUUUUUUUAAAACAGUAUUAGGAAUGUAGACAAGAAGCCAGAACCGUUGAAGCUUUCCUGAAAGAAUUCCACAUGCUAUCAUCACGAAAUAAUCUGCUGGAAACAGAGGCACAACAAGUUGCCAGGUUUGUUGGAGGUCUGCAUUGGGCUAUACAAGAUCGUGUGGCAAUACAAACAGUUUACACCCUAACAGAAACCGUUGCAAUGGUUAUUAAGGCAGAGACCCAAUUAGAUAGAUCAAAGGCAAUGGUUGGGACCAGGAAUCCAUUUGAUAAUAAUAGAGCAACAGUCAACAAAGGAAAGACCCCGAUGACCCUGACGACCUCAAUAACCCAACCCUCCUUCUCUAACACUAUACAGGGAACAAGCAGCAGUGGAGCACCAACAAAGCCUACCAACACCAUUCCAUCUGAGGUGACGCCCAGAAAUCCUUAUGCUCGUCCAGGAUCGAAUAAUGUUAUAGAUGUGGACAGCUAGGACACCGUUCCAACCAGUGUCCAAGAAGGAGUACCGUGAACUUAAUAGAGCCAGAAAAAGAGUGCCUUUUCGACACAGAGAAAGAUUAUAACGAAACAGCCUAUACAUAUUGUCGCACCCCAAAAAAAAAUCCAAUUUUUCAAUUGCGGGUUCGACUGGCGAUUUUUUUUUGUUAUUUUGGUUUGGUUCUUUGGAGUCGCCACCUAGUAUUUUGGUCACUAGGAACCCUAACUGGUCUCAGAAAUCGGGUACGGAGACUGGUUGCGUAAAGGGAAGGUAUUAGCACCCCAAAUACGUCCUACCUAAGGUAAGCUGCAUUGUUUUAUUGUCUGAUAAAAACUAAGAUGUUAUUAUAUUUCUAGUCGUUGAUCUGUCUAUGGUUCAAGAAAAAUCCUCCUCGGUAAGAAGGUCUUUUAUCUUAUCGGGUAAAAUCCUAAUCGUUCUAACGUCUAUACCCCAAAACUUUAUUAAUAAUAUUUAGGAAUACGUUUUACGUAUAAAUUCGUAAUCCCAAAUACUAAAAGAAAACAAAAAGAUUUUUUUAAAAUUUUUGAAAUAUUGGCCUAGUUCUCAUGGCUUGAAUAAACUGGUUAUUAAAGCCAAAAUGCAUGUUAAUACAUAUAUUGUUUUGAAAAUUUUCUUUGUUGUGUGAAAAUAUGAUGUUAUAAUAUUUAUAUAUAUAUAUUGGAGAGACUAGGCCGUAUUUUAAAACAAAAACAAUUUUAAAAAAAAUAUUAUUAUUUUUUUAUGCUUUGACGAAAAUCGGGUAUUUUAAAUACUGAGCUUGUAUCCUUACGGUAUAAAAAUACAACCCAAUAUUAAUCCACUUUGAUAAAAAUAUGCAGAAAAAUCAACAUUUUUAGGGAAUUUUUAGAAUUUUUUUUGAAAGCAAAAACAUUUUUUAUUCUGAAAAUCUUUGAUAUUUUGACGAAAACCGGGUAUUUAUAACACUGGUUUUGUAUCUUUACGGUAUAAAAAUACAAACCAAAAUUAAACCACUUUGAUAAAAAUAUGCAGAAAAAUCAACAAUAUUUUUAGGGAUUUUUCAAAAUAUUUAUUUAUUAUUAUAUUUUAUAUAUAUAUACAUAUAUACACACAUAUAUUAUAACAUAUUAUAAUAUAUAUAUAUAUAAUAUAUAAUAUAAAAAUAAUUCGGGCUGGGCCGGCCCAAAUAAACGGGCCGGACUCAGCCCAACAAGGAAAGGUUGGGCCGAACUCGGCCCAACCGAAAAUUCUUCUUCGGUCUGGGCCAGAACCGGCCCAGACGUGCAUGGGCUGGGCCAGCAUCGGGCUGGCCCAACGUUAGAAGCCCAGCGGGGGGGGGAAUUAAUUUUCUCCCCCCCCCCCGCCUCCUGCAUGCAGCAUGCAGGAGGCGAAGCUGCAACGGGCAAAAGAGAAAUGCAGAGGGAAAUGAAAUGUGUACCUGGCGUGGAGGAGGCGGUCGCUGGUGGAGGCUAGUGGCGGUGUCGUGGCUCACGGACGGCGGCUCCGGGCGAAGCUGUGGCUGUUCCCACUUGGCGGAGAGAGAGAGAUUUCGUUCUCUUCCCUUCUCCUCUGUUUUUUUCGUUCCUUCUUUCUCGGUUCGUUGAACCCGUGAUCACUCUCUUCUCUUCUCGGUUCUGUUUAAGAAAACAUCCUCCCCAGUUUUUUUGUUUUCCAGUCGUCUCUCUCUCUCUUCAGUUUCCUCUCUCUCUCCUCUUCGGGCUCCUUUUCGGUUUUCUUCUCUAUUUAUAGGGGCAGAACUAUGGGGGACCAUCGUUAGUGCGGUGCAACGGCUGGUCGGCUAAUGUUUAAAGGUGGUGGGGACGAAGAGAGAGAGGCGGGAAGAUUUGAAAAAAAAAGAAAAUGGUUUUCUUCUUCUGCUGCUCUGCUUCGGGGGGAAGGAGGAAGAUGAACAGUGUCGUUCAAAACGACACCGUUCUGGUCUUCCUCUUAUUUUUUUUUUUUAUAUAUAUAUAUGAAACGGCGUCGUUUUGGAUAAAACGCGCCGUUUCAUUUAAAUGGGCAAACUUCAAAUCAGUCCUCCAAAUUCGGUGCCCGCCCCCAUAGUUGGCCGCCUUUUUCACUUUGGUCCUUGGCCUCUGAUUUAUGCAAUUUAACCCUCAAUUGAUUAAUAAACUUUCAAUUUCUUCAAUUAGGCCCCUGAUCCAAAGAAAAACAGCCCCUCCAUUUACGCGCCUCUUCCAAUUUGGUCCCUGGUUUCGGAUUUUCUUAAUUAAAUCCCUAAUUAGCCCUUAAACUUCAAUAUUUAUGCAAUUAAGCCCCUGAUUUGACCCAAUAAAUUCCUAAAAAAUAUAUUUUUGCCCCAGAACUUAAAUUUCUUCAAAUUAAAGCCCAAAUUGACUUAAAAAUCAAUUUUUCUUGCAAUCAAAUCUUCUAUAAAUUCAAAUAAAAAUCCAAUUAAGUCCAUAAACAUCCAAAUUUGGACUUUUCUCCUCAAAAUUCAAAUUUUCCUUCUCAAUAGGGCUUUCAUCCUUCAAGAAUAUACUGUAAAAAAUUCAAUCCUUGUAUUUUUAAAUUCCUUGACCAAUUUUCUGACUGUUUCCUGAGCGCUUCUGCCUCCUGUUAUUUUUUCUAAACUCUUUUGGCUAUUUAUUUUAUUUUUUAUGGGGACCCAAAAAUGGGUUACAACACAUAUGAAGAAGAAGAAGAAGAAGUAAUAAGAGGCGUCGAGGGAGAACUAUUGUCGCGGUCGCUUGUAGUUCAGCGACUACUGUUGGCACCAAAACGAGAAGAACCCUCUUAGCAGCAUAAUAUAUUCAGAACCAGGUGCACCGUGAACAAUAGGGUCUGUGAUAUUAUCAUUGACACUGGCAGUAGCAAAAAUAUAGUAUCAAAAGCAAUGGUUACUAAGCUGGGAUUGCAAAUCAAGAAGCAUCUUGCACCAUAUAAAAUUGGCUGGAUCAAACGUGGCACUAAAGUAAAGGUAACUGAAGUCUGCCACAUUAAAUUCUCAAUUGGGAAAAAUUAUAUAGAUAAGGUUACAUAUGACGUGGUGGAAAUGGAUGCCUGCCAUGUAAUUUUGGGACGCUCCUGGUAGUAUGUUGUAGACGCCACUUAUAGAGGUCGUGACAAAGUUUAUGUCUUCAUGAAGGGGGUUAAAGGUCGUUCUAGGUCCUAUAAAAGAAGAGCUUGCCAGCAUUAAACCGAAGCCACAAGGAAAACCAAUAUUGCUAGUGGACAGGGGCAAAUUCAUGGAAGAGGCUAAGGAAGCCAAAGAGAUUUUUGCCGCAGUAGUAAGAGGAGAAGUUGGCAGGGAUCAUAUUGACAUUCCACCUACAGUGUUGCCAUUACUGGAGGAAUUUCAGAAGGUUAUACCGUCAGACCUACCUAAUGGGUUACCUCCUGUACGGGACAUACAACAUCAGAUCGAUUUCAUGCUAGGAGCUAGUUUUGCCUAAUCGCCCCCAUUACCGGAUGAAUCCCAAAGAAAGUCAGGUUCUACAACACAGGUAAAAGAAAUGAUUAAGAAAGGACUAGAACAUGAGAGCAUGAGCCCUGGUGCAGUGCCAACCUUGUUAGUGCCAAAGAAAUAUGGUAGUUAGUGCAUGUGCAUCGAUAGCCGGCCAAUCAACAAGAUCAUUGUUAAAUAUAAGUUCCCUAUCCCUUAAUUAGAAGAUAUGUUGGACAUGUUAUCCAGAUCCAAAGUCUUUUCAAAACUUGAUUUGCGAAGCAGGUACCAUCAAAUUCGGAUCAGACUAGGAGAUAAGUGGAAGACUACUUAAAAAAUAAUAAGGGCUUAUAUGAGUGGUUAGUAAUGCUAUUCGGACUAACCAAUGCACCCAGUACUUUCAUGCGGUUUAUAAACCAGGUAUUGAAACCUAUCACUAGAAAAUUUAUGGUGGUAUACUUCGAUGAUAUAUUAAUCUACAGCCAAACCCAAUCUGACCAUCUUGCGUACUUGAAGGAAGUACUUAAAAUUCUACAGCAAAAUAAGUUAUACGUUAAUUUGAAAAAGUACAGCUUUAUGACCAGUAGCUUGCUAUUCUUGGGGUUCGUAAUAAGUGCCGAUGGAAUUAAGGUAGAUGAAGAAAAGAUUUACGCCAUUCGAGAUUGGCCGACUCCGCGAACAGUAAGCGAGGUCCAUAGUUUUCAUGGACUAGCAACAUUUUACAGACUACUUGUUAGAGAUUUUAGUUGAAUAGUCACACCCAUUACUGAAUGCAUGAAGAAAGGGAAAUUCCAUUGAGGAGAAGCAGCAGAGCAGAGCUUUAAAUUGAUCAAAGAAAAACUAUCAUCGGCCCCAGUUUUGGCACUACCAGAUUUUGUCAAAUUAUUUCAAGUGUGAUGCCUCUAUCAUUGGUAUUGGUGUUGUGUUGUCUCAAAAAGGCAAACUUGUCGCAUUCUACAGUGAAAAACUCAGUGAAGCUCGCCAUAAGUGGUCUACCUACGAGCUAGAGUUGUAUGCCGUCUUUUGCACCUUGAAAGUCUGGGAACACUAGCUAGUACCCCGAGACUUCAUUUUAUUCAGCGACCAUCAGGCACUAAGAUUUAUCAACAACCAGAAUAGUGUCAACAGAAUGCAUGCCUGCUGGAUUUCAUUUAUUCAACGCUUCACAUUCACACUGCAACAUAAGGCUGGAUGACUAAACCGAACAGCUGAUGCUCUCAGCCGGAGGACAUUGCUGCUGGUCACUCUACAAACUAAAGUCAUUAGGUUUGAUUGCCUAAAAGAGUUAUAUGGUGGCGAUGAAGAUUUUCAAGAUAGUUGGAGAAAGUGUCAAACGAGGCUUCCUGUGGAGAACCUGCAUAUCCAGGAAGGCUACUUAUUUCGUGGUAACUAAUUAUGCAUACCCAGGAGCUCACUACGAGCUCAAAUAAUUCAUGACUUACACAGUGGAGGCUUGGGUGGACACUUGAAGCGUGACAAAACAAUAGCCCUUGCUGAGGAGAGGUAUUAUUGGCCCCAGUUAAAAAGAGACAUUGGCAACUAUGUUAAACGGUACCCCAUAUAUCAGGUUACUAAAGGACAGUCCUAAAAUACCAGUUUGUAUAUGCCCUUGCCUAUCCUAGCAGCACUUUAGGAGGAUCUUUCCAUGGAUUUUAUCUUAGGCCUACCGCGAACCCAACGCGGAUUUGAUUCAGUUUUCGUAGUGGUCGACAGGUAUUCUACAAUGGCUCAUUUUAUUGCUUGUAAGAAGACUGCAGAUGCAGUGUAUAUAGCAAAUUUAUUUUUCAAGGAGGUGGUGCGUCUACAUGGGGUUCCCAGGUCCAUCACGUCCGAUAGAGACACCAAAUUCUUGAGUCAUUUUUUGCGAUAGUUUGACACAUCCCUGAAUUUUAACAUCACCAGCCAUCCUCAGUUUGAUGGUCAAACAAAGGUAGUAAACCACACUCUUAGGAAUCUAAUUUGUUGUCUUUCUAGGAUAGAACCAAAACAAUGGGAUGUUGCUUUUGCACAAGCUGAGUUUGCUUAUAACAAUAUGCUCAACCGGUCCACUGGGAAGACACCAUUUCAGAUUGUUUAUUGUUGUCCACCACGCCAUGCGUUAGACUUAGUUCCUCUUCCAAAACUGUCGGGUUUAGGCAUUGCAGCAGAAAAUAUUGCAGACCGUAUAAAGUCCAUUCAAGAAGAAAUGUGGCAAAACUUUGAGGCUUCUAACGCCAAGUACAAAACUACAACAGAUAAAAAAUAGAGGGUCCAAACCUUUCAAGAAGAGGACCUUGUGAUGGUUUAUUUGCGCAAAGGACGACUACCUGUAGGAGCAUACAACAAGCUAAAAGACAAGAAGUAUGGACCUUUCCAGAUCCUUUAGAAAAUUAAUGACAGCACAUAUAUUGUCAACCUUCCUGCAGAUAUGGCCAUUUCCCCUACUUUCAACAUGGCAGAUUUGUAUGAGUAUCAUCCUCCUGAUAUGGCGUCUUCUCACUUAACUCACUCGGGGUCAAGUUCUUUUUAUGCAGGGGAGACUAAUGUAGAACAGUCUACAGGAGGAGAGGAAGAGCAGAUUGCAGGAUAUAAUAUAAUUACAGGGAAAUCAGGAACUGCAGUUACCAUUGGAGUAUCCUUCCACCAGAUUGCCUACUUUUUUAGGAUUCCUAAUUAAUGUCGUAAUAUCAUGAUUUAUUUACUUUUCUAGCUGUAGUAUUUGCUUUCUUUAGUCUGGUUAUUUCUUUCUUAAACAAUUAUAUUCCUAGUCGAAUUAGGAUUUGCAGCCUAUAUAAAGGCUGCCUCUUUUCAUUGUAAGGCAUUUUUGAAUUCAAUAAAGAACUUUCUCUUAGAGAAUUUUAAUUUCUGAACUCGUGGAUUCGAGUGUAAUUUUUGGUUCGAGGAUUCAAACGAUUUUUCCCGAAAAUAGGCGGCGUCCUAUUUCCACAGAAGCUUCCACUAUAUUAGUUGGUCGAGGAAGUCACCAACAUGUUUGGACUGAUCAUCCACAAUACGGAGCCCCAUGCUCAUUGCAUUUUGAUUUUUUUACAGAGCUUUACCUUAUGAUAUUCUUGUUAUGGCCUAUUUGAGAAACGUUCCUAUAAGAACCUAGAGCUAUAAUUGUGUAUAUAUUCAUCAUUGUUGUAUUACAUCAUGUGUAUAUAUUAAACGUUAUCUACUCACUAAGUUGUUGAAUUCACCCUCUCAUUAUUUAUCUUUUCAGGCUUAUAGUUUGUUAGCAGGUCACUUUUGUUAGACCUUCAAAACAUGCUCUUUUGGUUGUAAUUUGUACAUUUUCUUUUAUGUCUAGUUAGUGCUCUACAAAUAUGAAUUUAUAUGAACUCUUGUAUUAAGACAAUCAUAUUAUAUUAUGAAGUUUAUUUUAUUAUUAGUGUUGCGUUGAACUCUAAUUGAGUUUUGAAUGAUAAGUUUAUAUACAAGUUUAGGUUCGUAUAGGUAUGGAACCUUGGAAGAGAACCUUGUCUAUGUUCUAGUCAUGAAUCCAGGAUUCGGGUCUAGACAAAUAUCAUAGCAUUUUUUUUUUUCAUAGCACAUUUGUAAUAAAUAAAUUAUAAAGCCCCUCCAAUCAGCAACCAUGGCAUGAAGCUGGUGAGAGAAGAAGCUUUUGCUGAGAAAAGCAGGUCAGCAAAUGCUAGGUUGUCCCUUGACUCAGUCCUUGCCGUGACCACCUCAGUUGUACUCUGAAUAAUGUCGUACAGUGGAACUGAUCAUAAUAUCAACGGUCCAAUUUGUUCCACUUUUCAGUUUUAAUAUUCAAGGGAUUGUUAGUUACGCAACAUGUAGAGAUGCUCUUUCGUUAGAAACUGAGGUUGCUAGCUAGGCUUUAGCAUUUGAGGGACAUUAGUACAAGCAAGCAAGUUGUUCUGUCUUGCCCUAGUAUUAUGGCAGGGUAAUUGCCGAGUUUUUUCAGUGACUUGACUGCAUUGACUUUGAAAGCAUACAAGUAAGCGCAAGGAUUUCCACUAAUUGGUAGGGAAACGCGGUGGAUUUUAUGGCUAGACUUUCAUGUUCUGAGUGCCUGGCUCGACUGCUGGAACCCAAAGAAAGAGACUGGAGUGCUGGAACAAUAGACAUCCUUAUAUUGACACUCCCAUACCACACAAGAGCUAAAUCCCUAUCCAUGGCUUCUAUCAUCUUUUUUCUUCUUCUCGCCUUAUCUUUUACAGCUUCAGCUCAAAGACAGACCAAUAUUACCCUCGGAUCUUCUCUAACACCUAUCACAAACUCCUCAUGGUUGUCACCUUCCGGUCUUUAUGCUUUCGGAUUUUUCCGACAACGCGACGGCUAUUCUAUAGGGGUUUUUCUUUCCGGGAUUUCACUACAGACUGUUGUGUGGGCUGCUAGAAGGGAUGAUGCCCCAGUCCCCAGUAAUGCGACCUUGCUCUUCACCAGAAAUGGCAGGGUUGUCUUGACAUCAGCACAAGGGGGUGAGACUUCGAUAGUUUCUGCUUCCCAGCCAGCUUCUUUAGCUUCUAUGUCUGAUUCAGGCAACUUUGUGCUAUAUAAUUCUGAUCGCGAGAUUAUAUGGCAGAGUUUUGACCACCCAACAGAUACCCUUUUGCCAACUCAACAGCUCAGAGCAGGGGCAGAGCUGGUUUCUCCUGUUUCAGAAACUGAACUCUCAACUGGUAUUUACCGACUCAAGAUGCAAAAUGAUGGCAACCUUGUUCAGUAUCCUGUUAGUACUCCAGAUGCACCUCCAUAUGCUUAUUUUGCAUCUGGUACUUAUUGGGCGGGAGCUAAUGUGACCCUAAAUCUUGAUCCGGAUGGCCGUCUCUACCUGCUCAAUGCCACAGGUUUCAACAUAAAAAACCUUACAGCUGGAGGAUAUCACACGAAAGAAACAAUUAAUAUGAUGAAACUUGAUGCUGAUGGGAUUUUCAGAUUAUAUUCACAAAAUCUGAUACGGAAUGGAACCUGGUCAGCUGUGUGGUCAUCCACAAGCAACAUGUGUGACCCGAAAGGAUCAUGCGGUCUUAAUGGAUACUGUGUGAUGAAGGAUCAGGAAGCUGAAUGUAUUUGUCUUCCUGGAUUUGAGUUUGUUGCCCAGGGAAAUUGGACUUCUGGCUGUGAGAGGGAUUUCAAAGCUGAAAGUUGCAAAGACAAGAAUGGAAGUAGCCCAUACACCAUGGAAGAGCUGUCUAAUACUGAGUGGGAAGAUGUUUCAUACUCCGUUUUGUCAUCAACAACUAAAGACAAUUGUAAGCAAGCCUGUUUGGAAGACUGUAACUGUGAAGCAGCAUUAUUCACGGAUGGGCAGUACUGCAGAAAGCAAAGGCUUCCUUUGAGAUUUGGGAGGAGAAACUUAGAAAGUUCGAACUUGGCUGUCGUCAAGGUGGGUAGACCCAUAUCCACCAUGGACAAUAAAGAGCCUAUAACCGAGAAGAAGAACCUUGGCACUGGCAGGAAUCCUGAUAAUAAGUGGUUCAUUUUUUGCUUUUGGGCUUGCUAUGGUGGCGAUUUUCGGAAUCAUCGUUACAGAUAUCAUGAUUGUCAUAUAAAAGGGUGCCCAAUAAUGAUGGUACUGCAUGAAUGAGUAUUUGCUCCUCGAGCUUUCACUUAUGCAGAGCUAGAAAAUGUUACUGGUGGUUUCAAGGAAGAAAUUGGCAGGGGAUCAUUUGGGACAUUUUAAAGGGAUAAUAUCAAGUACUCGGAAGGUUGUUGCUGUCAAGAGACUGGAAAAGUUCUAGCUGAAGGGGAAAGAGAAUUUCAGAAUGAGAUGAAAGUCAUUGGGAAAACACAUCACAGAAACCUAGUCCGUCUGCUCGGCUAUUGCCAUGAUAACAUCACAGGCUCCGGUAUACGAGUACAUGAGCAAUGCUCCCUUGCUGACAUACUCUUCUCACUUGAAAAAACGACCUUGCUUCCCUGAAAGGUUGAAAUUGCUCAACAUUGCAAGGGGUAUUGUUUAUCUACAUGAAGAGUGCGACACUCAGAUCAUCUCUUGAUAUAAAACCUCAGAAUAUACUAAAGAUGAAAGCAGGUGCCCCAAAGUUUCUGACUUUGGAUUGGCAAAGUUUCUGAAGUCAGACCAAACUAAAACCUUCACGGAAUCAGAGGGACAAGGGGAUAUGUAGCACCAGAAUGGCACCGGAAUAUGCCGGUGACAGUUAAAGCAGAUGUUUAUAGCUUUGGAGUUAUGUUGUUGGAAUCACGUGUUGUCGAAAGAAUGUGGAUUCGAGUCUUCCAGAGGAUGAAGCUGUUCUCGAACAGUGGGUUUACCAAUGUUUUCAGGACGGUGAUAUGGACAAACUUGUGGGUGAUGAAAUCGUCGAAAAGAAACAGUUAGAUAGGAUGGUUAAAGUGGGACUUUGGUGCACUCUUGAUGAGCCAUCCCUCCGCCCUUCAAUGAAAAAGGUCCUCCUCAUGUUGGAGGGGACAGUCGAAAUCCCAAUCCCUCCAAGUCCUACUUCUUUUUUUACUGCUAUAUGAGCUGCGAUUUGUGGUUCAGAAUAAGAGAUUUUUCAGGUCAUGUAUUCCUUUUCUUUAUAAAAUUGCUAUAUGUUUCCGCAGCAUUUAGGAGCUUCCUGUUGAUUUUUCUUCUAGUGUUAAUGCCUGUAAAGUUGUUUCCCAUCGUAUCUUAGAUAUUUUCUUUUAAAAAAAAAAGAUAUAUAAAGAGGAGAAAAGAAAACGUUAGCAUGAAAGCUUCACGUGUUCUUAGUAAAAACAACGUUUGUUGGUCUGAUGUAAUCUCAAGAGUGAUCUUUGCUUGUUUUUGCCCCUUCUUCUCCUAUUCCACAACGCAGUUUCUUGCCUAAAAAGCAAUUGUCCAUACCUACACACAAGUACAGUUCAGAGGCAUAAACGACAGGAAUACCACUCGGUAAUUGAUCGUGUAUCGAUGACGGAUCAUGGAUUCGUCAAUAUAGAAAUUAUGCCAGUGAUUGUAUCAACGAUGCAAAAAAAAUAAACAACUUUACCUAAUUUUUAGAUGAAAAUAAACUAAUGAACUGAUAUAAACAUAAUUUGUUAUGUUUGUUGACUAUUUUUUUAAUACAUGUUUAUUUAUAUUAAAUUAACAAGUUGAUAUUAAAUAAUAUUAAGUUAAAAAAAAACAUAUUAUAUAUCAUUAAUUUAAUCAUAAAAUCAAUUAAAAAAUAUCUUAAUACAUUAAAAAAAACUCCUAACCACCUCAAGUUGAGCUACAUUAAAAAAUAUCUUAUAAGUCGAGGAAGUAUGCUAUUAUAUACUCUUAUUGCUUUUUACUUUGUUCAUACUUACCUCAAGUUUAGCAUUCAGAUCAAUCUUUGCAAUAAUAAUUUGUUUUUGAAUAAACUCCUGAAUGACCAGUAAUAGUUGUUUUAUGUUGGAUUGUGAAGUGUCCACGGUCGCCCUUAUAUAUUAACUUGUAUAACACACAUAAUAAAAUUUCCAGCCUAACUGAUUAAAAGCUGAACCCUAAAAACUAGAAAUUUAGGAGUCCUAAUUUACGGUUUUCACUUUACAUUUAAAUGCAUCAAUUUCGCGUUCAAUCGAUUUGUUAUGUAUGGGAUUCUCUAGAGUUUGUUUAAUUCUAUAUUUAUGCCAAGUAAAUCAAUCCUUUAAAUUAGUCAGUUUCAGUCAUGUAUUUAGAGAAGCAAAUCAGAUUGCAAAACAUUUAGCAGCUAGCGAGAGACUAGAUGUGCACCUGCGCGCUGCGCCAUAGGGAUGAACUUUCUUUUUUUAAAAAAAAAAUGUUAAAAAAAGAGAGUAAAAUUCUUUUUAAAGAAAAGCUAUCCUAUAAAAAGGAUUAAAUAAAAUUUAAUUAACUUAUUAAACUGUAACUUUGAGAUAACUCAAUUAAAAUAAAAAUAAAAAAACUACAAAACCUUUUUUAAAAAAAAGACAGAUAUCAAAUGGUGAAUUAAAAAAAUAAAAAAAUAAAGUAAAUUUUUAUAAAAAUAUAAAAAAGCCUUUAAUUUUUUUUGUUAUCCAAAAAAAAGAUAAUGCAGCGCUUCUAAUGACACGAUAAAAAAAAAUUUUCGGUUAUUGAGAGGUGUUGAACAUGCCAACUAAAUUGAAUUAUAUUUUAUAUUUAUUUAAAUAUUAAAUUGUCCCUGAGCCAAACUAAUCAUAACAAAAAAAACUGUUAAGAAAAUAUAUUAAAAAAAACCUUUAAUUUUUUUUGUUAUCAAAAAAGGGUAAUUAAAUCAUUCUUGCAUGCUGUAGAAAUAUAAAAAAAAAUGGAAUUGUUCCUAAUCAAUUUAAUAAUAAUAUCUUAUGAAAAGAUGGUAUUACCCCAAGAGUAAUCCUUAUGAAUGUCUUUUUUUAAGAAGAACAAAGUCAUCCAUGUGUUCUUUCAAUCCAUAGUAUACGGAGUCUUGUGCUACAAUAAACAUGACUUUCAACAACAUUUUCAAUUUCAAUUCAUAAUGCAAUGAGUUUUUCUAAGUUCUUUAUUUAAAAAAUUAUUUUUUUAUCUUAAUUUCAUAUCGUGUUAGUGGUAAGUUGACUCAAGUUUUUUUUUUAUAUAUUUUAUUUUUUUAAUUUCAGUCUUUAAUAUUAGAUUUUGAAUCUUGAGCUUUUUAAAAAAAAAAUUAUUUUUUUAUGUGAUGGUAUCUGAUUUUAUAUUUCAGGUUAUAUAUUAGUCAAAUUAAUCUGGGUUGACUCAUAUUAUAACCGCAUAAAAUUUUUGUUUUGAUAAUUUAGAAAAAACUUAAGGGCAAAAAAAUGUAGAAUGCAUAUGUUAGAGAUCUCCCAUGAAGAUUUACAUAUUUACUUUUUAACAGAACAUUUUUAACAAAUAAAUUAUAAAACCCCUCAAAGAGCACCCAUGGCUUUGAAGCUAGUCAGAGAAGACAUUUUUGCUGAGAAGAGUCUGCCAGCAAAUGCUCGGUUGUACAUUGACUCAGUCCCUGUUGUGACCACCUUAAUUAUACUCUGAAUAUAGUCAUACAGCGGAACCCUCAAUCGAACUCACCUUGUUAUUACAAGAUAAAGAAAGACCGGUUACAGCCAAGGACAAGAGAUACAUUACUUUACUCAUACGUCCAAUUGCUGUUCCUGCAAAAUACGUGUGGAAAAAACCAUAGAAUCAAAGGUCCAUUGAGUUCCAAUUUUCAGUUUUAAGAUUAUUCAUUUAGCUAGCCGAGAGUAAAUCCAUCUUCUAUGAAGUUUCACGCAGGCCAUUCAUAUCCAAACUAGUGUAUUUACGAAAAAAUCUCUUAAAUUCGAGACUAAAAUGAAAUCGUGAGGAAGCAAAUAAAAGUUUUAUUUCAAACAAAACUUGAAAGUUCCCAUAUAUAGUAUAAUUUCAGGAAAAAUGUGCCUCGGAAGGAAUGUUCUUGCAGGAAGCUAAACAUGAGAACAGAGGAAGAUCCAAGUUGAACUGGAGAAAGAAAAGUACAACCUUGUUGAGAUUACCCGAAUUCAAAAUCCCUACUUUUCACAUAUAAAUUAUAACAUGAUCUUUUUUUAUUAUUGUUAACGUUGGUGUAUGGGUUAGCUUGUGCUCAUCCCGACUAAUCUCACAUGCCUUUAAUUUAAUGACCAUGUAAGCUUUUAAUGAUUACGAGAGAAUUCAAACUCGUGAUUAUUGAAAAACAAAUUCAAAACCUGACUAAUUAAGUUGUCUAUAAGGGUUAAUUAUAACAUGAUCUUUUGUUAGAAAGUGACGUUGCUAUCUAGCCUUUUGCAUCGAAGGACAUGAAUAUAAUCCAGUUGUUCUGCCUUGCCCUAGUAUUAUGGCGGGGUAUUAGCAUUAGCACCACAAUUGGCAUCUCUCAAGUAGUUGAAGCUGUCUGCAGGAAGCUAAAGAUUGUGUUAUCAAAAGCAUAUUGAUGGUACUUGACAAAUAAAAAAGAAUCUGCUGCAGAAAAUUAGAACCAAGAACAGUCCAGGGGAAAUUAGCAAAUGGACUGUUCAAAUGGGGCGUCGCAACUGCAUUGACUUUGAAAGCAUACAAGUAAGCGCAAGGAUUUCCACUAAUUGGUAGGGAACCGCGGUGGAUUUUAUGGCUAGACUUUCAUGUUCUGAGUGCCUGGCUCGACUGCUGGAACCCAAAGAAAGCGACUGGAGUGCUCGAACAAUAGACAUCCUUAUAUUGACACUCCCAUACCACACAAGAGCUAAAUCCCUAUCCAUGGCUUCUAUCAUCUUUUUUCUUCUUCUCGCCUUAUCUUUUACAGCUUCAGCUCAAAGACAGACCAAUAUAACCCUAGGAUCUUCUCUAACACCUUUCACAAUCUCCUUAUGGGUGUCACCUUCCGGUCUUUAUGCUUUCGGAUUUUUCCGACAACGCGACGGCUAUUCUAUAGGGGUUUUUCUACCUUCGAUUUCACCAAGGACUGUUGUGUGGACUGCUAGAAGGGAUGACGCCCCAGUCCCCAGGAAUGCGACCUUGCUCUUCACCAGUGAUGGCAGGGUUGUCUUGAGAUCAGCACAAGGGGAUGAGACUCCGAUAGUUUCUGCUUCCCAGCCAGCUUCUUUAGCUUCUAUGUCUGAUUCAGGCAACUUUGUGCUAUAUAAUUCUGAUCGCGAGAUUAUAUGGCAGAGUUUUGACCACCCAACAGAUACCCUUUUGCCAACUCAACAGCUCAGAGCAGGGGCAGAGCUGGUUUCUCCUGUUUCAGAAACUGAACUCUCAACUGGUAUUUACCGGCUCAAGAUGCAAACUGAUGGCAACCUUGUGCAGUAUCCUGUUAAUACUCCAGAUACAGCUACAUAUGCUUAUUUUGCAUCUGGUACUAAUGGAGAUGAUGUGACUCUAAAUCUUGAUCCGGAUGGCCGUCUCUACCUGCUCAAUUCCACAGGUUUCAACAUAAAAAACAUUGCAGAUGGAGGAUAUCCCACGAAAGAAACAAUUAAUAUUAUGAAACUUGAUGCUGAUGGGAUUUUCAGAUUAUAUUCACAAAAUCUAACACUGAAUGGAAACUGGUCAGCUGUGUGGUCAUCCACAAGAGAUAAGUGCCAACCCAAGGGAUCAUGCGGUCUUAAUGGAUAUUGUGUCGUGAAGGAUCAGGAAGCUGAAUGUAUUUGUCUUCCUGGAUUUAAGUUUGUUACCCAGGGAAAUUGGACUUCUGGCUGUGAGAGGGAUUUCGAUGCUGAAAGUUGCAAGGACAAGAAUGGAAGUAGCGCAUACACCAUGGAAGAGCUGUCUAAUAUUGUCUGGGAAGAUGUUUCAUACUCCGUUUUGUCAUCAACAACGAAAGACAAUUGUAAGCAAGCCUGUUUGGAAGACUGUAACUGUGAAGCAGCAUUAUUCACUGAUGGGCAGUACUGCAGAAAGCAAAGGUUUCCUUUGAUAUUUGGGAGGAGAAACUUAGAAAGUUCGAACUUGGCUUUCGUCAAGGUGGGUAGACCCAUAUCCACCAUGGACAGAAAAGAGCCUAUAACCGAGAAGAAGAACCUUGGCACUGGCAGGACAAUCCUAAUAAUAAGUGGUUCAUUUGUUGCUUUUGGGCUUGCUAUGGUGGCGAUUUUCGGAAUCAUCGUUUACAGAUAUCAUGUAUUGUCAUAUAAAAGGGUGCCCAAUAAUGAUGGUACUGCAUUGAAUGAGGUAUUUGCUCCUCGAGCUUUCACUUAUGCAGAGCUAGAAAAUGUUACUGGUGGUUUCAAGGAAGAAAUUGGCAGGGAUCAUUUGGGACAGUUUAUAAGGGAUAUAUCAAGUACUCGAAGGUUGUUGCUGUCAAGAGACUGGAGAAAGUUCUAGCUGAAGGGGAAAGAGAAUUUCAGAAUGAGAUGAAAGUCAUUGGGAAAACACAUCACAGAAAC